Molecule: ribosomal RNA, 253 nt
Filed under: uncultured bacterium
Lineage: Bacteria
Description: partial 16S ribosomal RNA
Rfam family: Bacterial small subunit ribosomal RNA
Source: RNAcentral
UACGUAGGGUGCGAGCGUUGCCCGGAUUUAUUGGGCGUAAAGAGCGCGCAGGCGGUCGUUCAAGUCGAGUGUGAAAGCCCCCGGCUCAACUGGGGAGGGUCAUUCGAUACUGAUCGACUGGAAGGCAGGAGAGGGAAGCGGAAUUCCCGGUGUAGUGGUGAAAUGCGUAGAUAUCGGGAGGAACACCAGUGGCGAAGGCGGCUUCCUGGCCUGUUCUUGACGCUGAGGCGCGAAAGCUAGGGGAGCAAACGGG